CAUGUUCGAGAAGAUCCCGCGGGCAUCAGAUCAUCCAUGGCGGCCUAGGAGGAGCACCACUGGCUCAGGUUUCUCCAAUCUGGCUGUGUGAAGGGAACUAGAAAGGCCGAUCUACUGCUGCUGCUCUGCCCCCCUUGAACAAUCUGGUGAAGGACAGGUUGAUCCAUGGAAUUUUGAGCAGAUUCUUUAGCUGUUAUUUUGGUCGUGUGCUUUCAGCGGUUGGUUUGGUCAUGUGCUAGAGCCUAAUUAGCUAUAGGAACAAUUUAUACUUUACUUAAAGAUGUUACUUUGUGUUGUAGAAAAUUUUAUUUAUGUCUACUGUUUUGUCCAGAUUAGAAAUAUGUGUGAUGUGUGCUUUCAAAAACUAAUGCUAUAUGUAGGCUUAAGAAAUUGAGCAAGGGAAACCAUUAUAUCCCCUUCCUUGUUUUAUAAGCUAAAAUUAUGUCGGA
Non-coding RNA from Triticum urartu, 449 nucleotides. The record is from RefSeq and is a predicted model, not a curated record. NCBI's taxonomy places the organism in Eukaryota, Viridiplantae, Streptophyta, Magnoliopsida, Poales, Poaceae.